This 253-nucleotide ribosomal RNA is filed under the name uncultured bacterium. RNAcentral describes it as "partial 16S ribosomal RNA". It matches the Rfam family "Bacterial small subunit ribosomal RNA", at positions 524 to 776 of the family's 1533-position model. The record is from RNAcentral.
UACGUAGGGUGCAAGCGUUGUCCGGAAUUAUUGGGCGUAAAGAGCUCGUAGGCGGUCUGUCGCGUCGGCUGUGAAAACCUGGGGCUUAACUCCGGGCCUGCAGCCGAUACGGGCAGACUAGAGUUCGGCAGGGGAGACUAGAAUUCCUGGUGUAGCGGUGAAAUGCGCAGAUAUCAGGAGGAACACCGGUGGCGAAGGCGGGUCUCUGGGCCGAAACUGACGCUGAGGAGCGAAAGCGUGGGGAGCAAACAGG